This 1086-nucleotide long non-coding RNA is filed under the name Marmota monax (woodchuck). The record is from RNAcentral. Lineage: Eukaryota; Metazoa; Chordata; Mammalia; Rodentia; Sciuridae.
CUACUUUAGUAAUUUUUAAGUAUACAAUUCAGUGGCAUUACUUACAUCCACAGUGUUGUGCAAUCAUCACCCCUUCUUCCCCAAAUGUUUAGAUUUUUAUUCUUAAUUAAAAUAUUAUUUAAAAUGCUACAGGCAAUACUUAGUUGUGCAUUAAACAUUAUACAUUAGGAUCAGAAAUGUAAAAAAAUGCAAUUUUAUGUUUCUAAUAAUGUAAUUGUUGUUCAUUUACUAGUAGGUUGGCUUUGAUUUUUAUACUGUAGCUUGAUAGCUUCUUUAAGAAAAAAAGAUAAGUACUGUGUAUAAACACUAUUUCUACAUAGCUCAAUAAUUGUGGCAAGAAAAAAAGUACAUUCAAAUAAUUAACUUAUCGGGUAUUUUGGAACAACUCAACAUUUUAAUUUAUGUUAAUAAAUACAAAAAGUCUCUUAAAACAAGUCACAUGAAAAAAUAUUUUGUACUCAUGCUUUCUUUAGUUUGAAUUGACAUAUUUGAUUAACAUAUCAUAUAGACAUGAACAUAUUGAAGCUAUAGUCUAUGAUUAAACUCUUUAAUACAGUGAUAAUUUCAGACAACAUUCUUAAAGAGAAAAUUCUCAAACUGAAACAUAUGCUGUAUUCAUGCUAAUAUUUAAUUAAUGUGAAAUUAAGCUAACAAGAUAAACGGAACCUCUCCCUACCACCUCUUCACCAUAUUUUUUAGCCUGAGCACUAUAUUAACACAGCAAUUGAAUAUUUUUCUAACUUUCCAAAGUAUUUAAUAUUCCUUUCAAAACCUGUCCCUUAUGGUACUUAAUAACAUAAAUUAAAGUAUCUUAGUUAGAAUCAUUUACUAUGGAUUAAACUUUUGGUUCUUGAUUGAAAGAGUCAUUCAUCUGGAGAGACCAGUUUCUUUUAUUUUGUGUAAUUUUCCCUCAAAUAUGUAACACCAGGCCAAAAGAAGAUGUAUUCCAAAUUGAUAGUUCUUUGCCUUUGUUUUGCAGGUGUAAAUAGUGCAUACUACAAAUAACCUAAAAAUGGUCAUUCAAUUAAAUUUGUAACUUAGCUCUGAAAUGUAGUGUCAAGAAAAUUAUGAAAUAGAAUAAACUGG